ACUCUGAGCGGUGGAUCACUCGGCUCGCGGAUCGAUGAAGAGCGCAGCAAAGCGCGUUAGCUACUGCGAACUGCAGGAUUACUUGAGCAGCAAGAGCUUGAACGCAAAUUGCGGCUCUGGGUACUCCCAGAGUCACGUUCGCUUGAGGGUCGAAU
This 155-nucleotide ribosomal RNA is filed under the name uncultured metazoan. Its description in RNAcentral is "5.8S ribosomal RNA". It matches the Rfam family "5.8S ribosomal RNA". From Rfam's summary of the family: 5.8S ribosomal RNA (5.8S rRNA) is a component of the large subunit of the eukaryotic ribosome. It is transcribed by RNA polymerase I as part of the 45S precursor that also contains 18S and 28S rRNA. Lineage: Eukaryota; Metazoa. The record is from RNAcentral.